Molecule: ribosomal RNA, 497 nt
Filed under: uncultured bacterium
Lineage: Bacteria
Description: partial 16S ribosomal RNA
Rfam family: Bacterial small subunit ribosomal RNA
Source: RNAcentral
GAUGAACGCUGGCGGCGUGCCUAAUACAUGCAAGUCGAGCGAACAUAUGAUGAUCUUGCUCCUCUGACGUUAGCGGCGGACGGGUGAGUCACACGUGUAUAACCUAUCUAUAAGACUGGGAUACCUUCAGGAAACCUGAUAUCUUAUACGUUAUUAUAUUGAACCUCAUGGUUCAAUAGUGCACGACUUUUUUGCUGUCACUUAUAGAUAUAACCUCGCCGGAUUAGCUAGUUGGUAGGGUAACGGCGUACCAAGGCAACGAUGCGUAGCCGACCUGAGAGGGUGAUCGGCCACACUGGAACUGAGACACGGUCCAGACUCCUACGGGAGGCAGCAGUAGGGAAUAUUGCGAAAUGGGCGAAAGCCUGACGGAGCAAUGCCGCGUGAGUGAAGAAGGUUUUCGGAUCGUAAAGCUCUGUUAUUAGGGAGGAACAAAUGUGUGAUAAAAAUUGCCCGUCUUGACGGUACCUAAACAGAAAGCCACGGCUAACUACGUG